UGAGGAAUAUUGGUCAAUGGGCGUGAGCCUGAACCAGCCAAGUAGCGUGCAGGAAGACGGCCCUAUGGGUUGUAAACUGCUUUUAUGCGGGGAUAAAGGAGUCCACGUGUGGAUUUUUGCAGGUACCGCAUGAAUAAGGACCGGCUAAUUCCGUGCCAGCAGCCGCGGUAAUACGGAAGGUCCGGGCGGUAUCCGGAUUUAUUGGGUUUAAAGGGAGCGUAGGCCGCGUUUUAAGUGUGUUGUGAAAUGUAGACGCCCAACGUCUGCAUCGCAGCGGGAACUGGGACGCUUGAGUACGCGCGACGUUGGCGGAAUUCGUCGUGUAGCGAUGAAAUGCUUAGAUAUGACGAGGAACUCCGAUUGCGAAGGCAGCUGACGGGAGCGGCACUGACGCUUAAGCUCGAAGGUGCGGGUAUCAAACAGG
RNAcentral lists this ribosomal RNA (424 nucleotides) under Verrucomicrobiota bacterium. RNAcentral describes it as "Verrucomicrobia bacterium partial 16S ribosomal RNA". It matches the Rfam family "Bacterial small subunit ribosomal RNA", at positions 355 to 776 of the family's 1533-position model. Lineage: Bacteria; Pseudomonadati; Verrucomicrobiota. The record is from RNAcentral.